UUGCACCGAGGAAGGAUUGUGCACAUGUUUAAAUCCUACUAACACAAGAAACAAGAAGGUGUUAGAUAUUUUAAAAGGAUAAUAAAAAGCAAACAAAUGAAAACCUACAGCUAAGAAUCAAUAAAAAUUACUGAAAACAGAAAACCCGAAAAACUGUGGAGUAACUUGACAACUUCGUUCGAGGUGUUCCCGAUCUCAAAAAAUCACAAAAUUAAA
This 216-nucleotide long non-coding RNA is filed under the name Gossypium barbadense (sea-island cotton). Its description in RNAcentral is "long non-coding RNA (GBAR_LNC021602)". Lineage: Eukaryota; Viridiplantae; Streptophyta; Magnoliopsida; Malvales; Malvaceae. The record is from RNAcentral.